AGACUAUUUUUGCUGAACACACCUGUUCCUGGUCAUACCCAACACUGUCUGAUUUCAGAAGCUAAGCAGUGUUGGGCCUGGUUAAUACUUGGCUGAGAGACCAUUAAGAAAUACCAUGGAUCUC
Molecule: ribosomal RNA, 124 nt
Filed under: Pogona vitticeps (central bearded dragon)
Lineage: Eukaryota; Metazoa; Chordata; Lepidosauria; Squamata; Agamidae
Source: RNAcentral